AAACUCUCAUUUUCCCAGCCCUUUCGAAAGAGGUGAAAGAGGCAAGAAGAGGAGGAAGAAAAAAAAACCCUGAAAAGGUUGGCUGCCAUCAGGAAGUCUGCAGACAACCCUGGCGUGCAUGUCUGAUGGAGAAGAACUCAAGAGCGAGAGGGAAUGAGUUCUCUGGGCUGUGGCACUGCCAAGGAUAUGGACAUCUCUAUGAUGACAGAGUUCUGUAUGGACUUAACAAGUUCAUCACAAAGAACUCAGAAGGAAAAAGAGGGGAAUACGGAGGUAGAAAAUUACAAGGAUUGAAAGACCAAGAGAAUGUCACAUACCGGGUCCUAUUAGCAAAAAAGAGAUUCUUCUAAAUGAAUCUGGCAGUCAGAUGGCUAACAUCAUACGGAGCCCCUAUUGAAUACUGACGCUUUUCACCAAAGUAAGAAGAGAUGGGCACCAUGCUUGAGUGCCAUGCGUCUUUUCUGCUCAUCUCCAUCAACAUGGCUGUUCUUCCCUGGGUUUUCAGAUGUGGCUACUCCAAGAUUCCUAGGUACAUAAUUAACAUCUGUAACAACUACCACUAAAUACAUAUUCACCCCCUUCUGUGCUCUGCUCACGUGCAAGUGGUCACUUCCUUUGGUCAAGAUCCAAAUUAUAGAACUAUGGAAAAGUGAGAAUUUCCGUAGGAAAUAAGGGCUGUGAUUUCAGCGUGUAAAGCCAGUGUCGAUGAGCUUGCUUGAUGCCUAUUUAUGUCUAGGACCACCCUGGCAUUUAUUAGUAUGGAAAGGAUCCCAGAAAGUAUGAGGUUGCCAGGCAACCGCACAGCAGAAAGCUGAUAUGGUGGUCACAAUCAUCCCAGCUGGAUAGGGCACUGGGCCAUCGUUCUGUUCUUAGCCUCAUCCCACCCCAUUGC
Mus pahari (shrew mouse) is the source of this 892-nucleotide long non-coding RNA. RefSeq lists it as uncharacterized. Lineage: Eukaryota; Metazoa; Chordata; Mammalia; Rodentia; Muridae. The transcript has 4 exons. The record is from RefSeq and is a predicted model, not a curated record.